RNAcentral lists this long non-coding RNA (803 nucleotides) under Homo sapiens (human). RNAcentral's name for it is "long non-coding RNA NONHSAT215825.1". The record is from RNAcentral. Lineage: Eukaryota; Metazoa; Chordata; Mammalia; Primates; Hominidae.
GCCGGGCGGCGGCCAGGGCGCAAAGUUGAGAGCAGUCUCUAGUCUGAGCCUUUCAGUCGCCUUCCAGUAUCAUCAGUACCACGGGCUCCACCUUGCUGCGGCCCCUCAGCAACCCAGUGCACCUGCCACUCGACCAGAGGGAAAGCAGUCAGGAGUGGGAGGCCUCUGAACAAGCUGUAUUUUGUGUAGCCGCCAGCUUCCAUCUUUCUCCAGGCAGAACGCUGGCCCUCAGCACAUCUUUCUGCUUCCCCUCGGUCAGACCACCGAGAACUGCCGCUGUCCUGUCUGACUCCUCCUGUUUUGGUACUAGACCCCAGAUGAGGAUCUCAGGAAGAUCCACAAAGCUGCGUCCAGGGGAACGAACGUGUGGAAGCUGCAGCGGAGCCUCCUGCUCAAGAGUAAAGGACCGGUCUGAAACCUACAAGAACAGGUGUCGGGGGCUGCAGGCUGCGGGCUGCGGGAGGAGGUGGGCGGGUGGGGAGAAGCACCCCCUUCAGAGUUGGGGCUUGGGGAGUGGGGGCGAGGGGAGGCAUGGAAAGAAUGGGUGUGCGGAGCGGGCCGUUCUGGUGCCCAGGGUGCUGGGCUUUCUUCCCGGACGGGCUCCGCAGCGCCUGAGAUGUGGACGCCUUGGAGGCGGAGGGCCCGGGCCAUCCUUAUGAGCAGCAAAAUAAACCCAAAACUUUAGCUGGUUUCUGACUCACCCACAGUUCCUCUUACAGAGCACUUCAGAGACAAUUUUAAAGUGAUUUAAUUAAUAAAAGUAUGUACAGUGUUUUAUUUUUUAUGUAUACAGUUUAAAAUAU